This 253-nucleotide ribosomal RNA is filed under the name uncultured bacterium. RNAcentral describes it as "partial 16S ribosomal RNA". It matches the Rfam family "Bacterial small subunit ribosomal RNA", at positions 524 to 776 of the family's 1533-position model. The record is from RNAcentral.
UACGUAGGGACCAAGCGUUGUUCGGAUUUACUGGGCGUAAAGGGCGCGUAGGCGGCGUGACAAGUCACUUGUGAAAUCUCCGGGCUUAACUCGGAACGGCCAAGUGAUACUGUCGUGCUAGAGUGCAGAAGGGGCAAUCGGAAUUCUUGGUGUAGCGGUGAAAUGCGUAGAUAUCAAGAGGAACACCUGAGGUGAAGACGGGUUGCUGGGCUGACACUGACGCUGAGGCGCGAAAGCCAGGGGAGCAAACGGG